Long non-coding RNA from Hyla sarda, 880 nucleotides. RefSeq lists it as uncharacterized. The record is from RefSeq and is a predicted model, not a curated record. The transcript has 4 exons. Lineage: Eukaryota; Metazoa; Chordata; Amphibia; Anura; Hylidae.
GGGAUGUCUGCUGGCACGUCUGUAAAUGUGAAGAAAACUACUUUUAUGAAUGUCACACACAGUAUGUAAAUGAGCUUCAAGAAGUCACCAGGCAUGCGGCCUGCUGAAGUAGUCAUGGCACCUCAGGCUCUAAUCACAUCUAUCCAAGCAUGAUUGACACUGACAUCAGGCCCUGACUGAGCUGCUCAAUCAUACCUAGCAUUUUUAUAGCUGGCAUAGGUGUGAUUACAGUCCGGGGAGCCAUGACUACUUCAGCAGCCGCACGCCCAACUGACUACUUAAGCUUCACUUACAUACUGAGUUUGAUAUUGAUCAAAGUAGUUUUUUCCACAUUUUUAGAUGUACCAGCAGACAUCCAGGCAUUGUAGGAAACAUGAUAUUAACCUGAUUUUAACCCCUGGUGUAUGUCCCCCGCCUCCCUCCCUCCAUCUGCUUUUGUUACCUGCAAUGCUGUAAUAAAGCUCCGUUGCCGUUGGACCAGGCUUUGUAAAAAAUCUGGACAACAGUUCCUGUUCCCCUCGUAGCCAAGUACUGGCCUUAGUGUUGACAGACAUCAGGUAGCAGUUGGCUGAACAGGGUUACAUUAUGAUGUUUCGGGCCAUGUAUAGCAUUCUAGCAUCAGCAAUCAUAUGAAUCAAUUGUGAACAGAUCCUCCACAUAAACAAAAAAAUUGCAGGGGACAGUUGGAGUACAUCUAAGCCCAGGAGAAUCCUGUGUUAAUGCAGCCUACGUGUCAGUAACUUCCAGGUAUUACAAGGAAAGGUAAAACAGUAAAAGAGAAGCGUUACACCCUCUAACAUUUCUGCAUGAACAGUAUCUGAACACACUAAGCACAGGGGACAUCCUACCCAAUUGUUGUAGGUUUUCUGUAAUAAAUGCU